Long non-coding RNA from Eurytemora carolleeae, 185 nucleotides. RefSeq lists it as uncharacterized. The record is from RefSeq and is a predicted model, not a curated record. Lineage: Eukaryota; Metazoa; Arthropoda; Copepoda; Calanoida; Temoridae. The transcript has 3 exons.
AUUUACCCCUAGGUUGGUGUUAGAGCAUUUACUAGAUUUGGUCCUAUUCUUGGGAAACAAACAAGAGAAGAGAAUCUUGAUUUUGACGAGGAUAGAAGAAAAGUAUUCAUUCUUCACACAGAAAAUGGGGACAGGCGAAUGAUAUUGGCAGGAGAGGGUAGUAAAAGUAACUGGAUGAAUAAGGU